Sardina pilchardus (European sardine) is the source of this 312-nucleotide long non-coding RNA. RefSeq lists it as uncharacterized. The record is from RefSeq and is a predicted model, not a curated record. Lineage: Eukaryota; Metazoa; Chordata; Actinopteri; Clupeiformes; Clupeidae. The transcript is spliced from 4 exons.
GAACUCUCCAUUUGGUCUCUCAAACACUGGUGAAGAUCCUGGAAAGCUCCUCUCGAGCCAGGAAUGCUUACUUUAGGAAGAUAUUACUGGGAGAAGAGUUAUAUAUAUAUAUAUGAACUCCCUUGGGGAAUCUAAAGAGAGGGUGGCGACCAUAGUUCAAAACUGGAGUUCAUUUGCUGAAUGAUGGGGAUGUCAUGGCCCCUGGACACCGGUAUCCAUAAAGCAUCCCCUGCAGAUAGAUGGGAAGUCAUGUGGCGUUCAUUUUGUUAUGUAUGCCCAGGCCAUAUUGACAGGGGAUGCUCUUCAGCAGAG